UUGACGGGGGCCCGCACAAGCGGCGGAGCAUGCGGAUUAAUUCGAUGCAACGCGAAGAACCUUACCUGGGUUUGACAUGGAUUGGUAACGGUCAGAGAUGGCCGCCCCCCUUGUGGGCCGGUUCACAGGUGGUGCAUGGCUGUCGUCAGCUCGUGUCGUGAGAUGUUGGGUUAAGUCCCGCAACGAGCGCAACCCUCGUCCACUGUUGCCAGCAUUUGGUUGGGGACUCAGUGGAGACCGCCGGGGUCAACUCGGAGGAAGGUGGGGAUGACGUCAAGUCAUCAUGCCCCUUAUGUCCAGGGCUUCACGCAUGCUACAAUGGCCGGUACAAAGAGUGGCGACAUCGUGAGGUGGAGCGAAUCUCAGAAAGCCGGUCUCAGUUCGGAUUGGGGUCUGCAACUCGACCCCAGAAGUCGGAGUCGCUAGUAAUCGCAGAUCAGCAACGCUGCGGUGAAUACG
This 459-nucleotide ribosomal RNA is filed under the name Acidipropionibacterium acidipropionici. RNAcentral describes it as "16S ribosomal RNA". It matches the Rfam family "Bacterial small subunit ribosomal RNA", at positions 910 to 1370 of the family's 1533-position model. Lineage: Bacteria; Bacillati; Actinomycetota; Actinomycetes; Propionibacteriales; Propionibacteriaceae. The record is from RNAcentral.